UUAAUUUGAUGUAAAGUGAAGAACCUUACUUGGGCUUGAUAUGUCGCGAGUCCUCUUAAAAUAGAGGGCUGCCUUUGGGAACGUGGACACAGGUGAUGCAUGACUGUUGUCAGCUCAUGCUGUAAGGUGUUGGGUUAAGGCCCGCAACGAGCGCAACUCUCAUGUUAGAUGUAAGGCCCAAAUUUUGCCCGGGGCC
This 196-nucleotide non-coding RNA is filed under the name Gossypium arboreum. RNAcentral's name for it is "Bacterial small subunit ribosomal RNA". It matches the Rfam family "Bacterial small subunit ribosomal RNA", at positions 946 to 1160 of the family's 1533-position model. Lineage: Eukaryota; Viridiplantae; Streptophyta; Magnoliopsida; Malvales; Malvaceae. The record is from Rfam by way of RNAcentral.